This 607-nucleotide ribosomal RNA is filed under the name Veillonella parvula. Its description in RNAcentral is "bacterial SSU rRNA". It matches the Rfam family "Bacterial small subunit ribosomal RNA", at positions 365 to 968 of the family's 1533-position model. The record is from RNAcentral. Lineage: Bacteria; Bacillati; Bacillota; Negativicutes; Veillonellales; Veillonellaceae.
UCCGCAAUGGACGAAAGUCUGACGGAGCAACGCCGCGUGAGUGAUGACGGCCUUCGGGUUGUAAAGCUCUGUUAAUCGGGACAAAGGCCUUCUUGCGAACAGUUAGAAGGAUUGACGGUACCGGAAUAGAAAGCCACGGCUAACUACGUGCCAGCAGCCGCGGUAAUACGUAGGUGGCAAGCGUUGUCCGGAAUUAUUGGGCGUAAAGCGCGCGCAGGCGGAUCAGUCAGUCUGUCUUAAAAGUUCGGGGCUUAACCCCGUGAUGGGAUGGAAACUGCUGAUCUAGAGUAUCGGAGAGGAAAGUGGAAUUCCUAGUGUAGCGGUGAAAUGCGUAGAUAUUAGGAAGAACACCAGUGGCGAAGGCGACUUUCUGGACGAAAACUGACGCUGAGGCGCGAAAGCCAGGGGAGCGAACGGGAUUAGAUACCCGGUAGUCCUGGCCGUAAACGAUGGGUACUAGGUGUAGGAGGUAUCGACCCCUUCUGUGCCGGAGUUAACGCAAUAAGUACCCGCCUGGGGAGUACGACCGCAAGGUUGAAACUCAAAGGAAUUGACGGGGGCCCGCACAAGCGGUGGAGAUGUGGUUGAUUCGACGCAACGCGAGAAC